RNAcentral lists this ribosomal RNA (466 nucleotides) under Vreelandella stevensii. RNAcentral's name for it is "partial 16S ribosomal RNA". It matches the Rfam family "Bacterial small subunit ribosomal RNA", at positions 338 to 795 of the family's 1533-position model. Lineage: Bacteria; Pseudomonadati; Pseudomonadota; Gammaproteobacteria; Oceanospirillales; Halomonadaceae. The record is from RNAcentral.
CCUACGGGAGGCAGCAGUGGGGAAUAUUGGACAAUGGGCGAAAGCCUGAUCCAGCCAUGCCGCGUGUGUGAAGAAGGCCUUCGGGUUGUAAAGCACUUUCAGUGGGGAAGAAAGCCUUGGGGCUAAUACCCUCGAGGAAGGACAUCACCCACAGAAGAAGCACCGGCUAACUCCGUGCCAGCAGCCGCGGUAAUACGGAGGGGUGCGAGCGUUAAUCGGAAUUACUGGGCGUAAAGCGCGCGUAGGCGGUCUGAUAAGCCGGUUGUGAAAGCCCCGGGCUCAACCUGGGAACGGCAUCCGGAACUGUCAGGCUAGAGUGCAGGAGAGGAAGGUAGAAUUCCCGGUGUAGCGGUGAAAUGCGUAGAGAUCGGGAGGAAUACCAGUGGCGAAGGCGGCCUUCUGGACUGACACUGACGCUGAGGUGCGAAAGCGUGGGUAGCAAACAGGAUUAGAUACCCCAGUAGUC